RNAcentral lists this ribosomal RNA (253 nucleotides) under uncultured bacterium. RNAcentral's name for it is "partial 16S ribosomal RNA". It matches the Rfam family "Bacterial small subunit ribosomal RNA", at positions 524 to 776 of the family's 1533-position model. The record is from RNAcentral.
UACGAAGGUGGCAAGCGUUUUUCGGAUUUACUGGGCGUACAGGGAGCGUAGGCGGUUGGGUAAGCCCUCCGUGAAAUCUCCGGGCCUAACCCGGAAAGUGCGGAGGGGACUGCUCGGCUAGAGGAUGGGAGAGGAGCGCGGAAUUCCCGGUGUAGCGGUGAAAUGCGUAGAGAUCGGGAGGAAGGCCGGUGGGGAAGGCGGCGCUCUGGAACAUUUCUGACGCUGUGGCUCGAAAGCGUGGGGAGCAAACAGG